CUAGCACACAGAUACGCCCAGA
RNAcentral lists this microRNA (22 nucleotides) under Homo sapiens (human). Its description in RNAcentral is "hsa-miR-585-5p". Its record names the gene hsa-miR-585-5p. Lineage: Eukaryota; Metazoa; Chordata; Mammalia; Primates; Hominidae. The record is from miRBase by way of RNAcentral.